ACGAGGCUGUGCAAAAAAAAAAAAGACCAGAUAAAAGAUUACACACGGCAAAAUGAAAUCAAAUCAUAAGUACAUCCAAAAUUUGUGAUCAAUAUAGAUUCUCACAUGAAUGUUACAGGAAGAUUUUAUUACUGGAUCCCAACAUUUUUCAUUGUUUGACGUGAUAGCAGGGUGCAACUCUAGUCACAUACAAGGCAGUUACAAUUCUGUUGGGUAACACUGACGGCCACACAGUAAGAUGACUUAGCGUGACGUCCCCAGGAAUUCUGGCAUGCUAUAUGGCAAGAUAAUUCUAUGCAUGCAGCGCUGCCAUAAGCAAUAUGCACCUCGCAAUUACCUAUGGACAAGAAUACACAUCAUUAAAAUGAGUUCAAAUAGACAAAGUUCCAUAGAAAAUUUAGUUUCAACCGACAAGGUUAUUCUCGCCCCCAGUUGACAGGAGAAAGAAAACAUAGGGAGAUCCAGUUCGUACCAGCAUGAGUGGAAUUUCCUAGCAGAAAAAGCACCAUAAGGCAUAGAAGAAUGGUUUUCCCCUCCAUAGGAUUUAACACAAAUCUUCUUCUCGUUUAUG
RNAcentral lists this long non-coding RNA (571 nucleotides) under Triticum aestivum (bread wheat). RNAcentral's name for it is "long non-coding RNA (TAES_LNC028316)". Lineage: Eukaryota; Viridiplantae; Streptophyta; Magnoliopsida; Poales; Poaceae. The record is from RNAcentral.